AGUAGCUCGUUUGGUGAACGUAAGGUCUGGUAGUCGUUGUAGGAGUGGAGUCGCGAUGGGGAUGGGUGGUCGACGGUAGUGGUUGGUUUGGUUUCUAUUGAGUGAUGGCUGAUGGUGUUCUCUCGUGUAUUAUGGUGCAAGAAGAAGAAGUUAAAUGGUGGGGUUGUUUUUCAUCGUUCAUAUGCGUGUCCCCUGAACUGAUGGCUGCUCUUGUAGUUAAAGAAGAAGGUCCUCUUUAGGGUUAGGGUGUGAGGGUUUAAAUAACAAAGGGGUAAUGGGUUAGGAGAUGGGUUGUGCAAUUUGGGCCUCUUGCAAGAAUACCAUUUGGGCUAAAAAAUCCUACAAAAUUGGGCUAAGAAAAAAAUGCUAAAAUUUUAAUUUACUUCAAAAAAUACUUAUAAGAAGAUAUAAACUAAUUCUUAAUAAACCAUUAAUAUUAAAAUAAAACAUAAAAGCUAAAAAUAAAAUUUGAAUCUAUUUUUGGUAUUUUCAAGGAUUAUAUUAAAAUAAAAAUAGGUUUAAAGUAAUAUAUCCUCCUAAAAAUAUCUAAUACUGGUUAAAUUGAAAAGUUAAAAUAUUCUUUUUGUAUUUUUUUAUUUUAUGAUAAAAAUAAGGCAAAAGAGUCAAAAUUAGUUAAAAAAUCAUAUUAAGCCUUAAUAAAAUAUUUUACGCUAAAAUAGAUAAAAUUUCAGGAAGGGUCAAAAAUCACGUGUCUAAUGCUGCCCCUCUUUGACUGGAAAUACGAAGUAUUUUUAGACAAAGAAUGACUAGACAUGUUUUUUGAUCCCAACCUUAUUUGGAGAGACUAAGCUUAAGAGAAAAGGGAAUAGAAUGUGACGGAGCCCUUGUAUCUGAUCUGCCUACAUAUACUUGGCUAUAAAGGAAUCAGGCCACGUGUAGUUCAGAAGUGAGAAUAGUGGAGUGUACCGAGGUGGAGAGGUGGUCGAGGUACCGUUCCGUCGAGGUUCCGGUCCACGAUCCUGUUGUUACAUCAAAAUCAAAAAGGAAAAAUACUAACUUAGCCUGUCAACUAUGAGUUACAAAAUUCCUAUCUAUAAAUCUUCUGAAGUUAGAUCUUGAAUCUUGAAUAGUUCUUCAUGCAGACUUCAGAUCUGAACCUUGACGUUCACUAGCUGCAGGUGCUAGUUCAUUUUUCUUCAGCUUUUUGGAUCAGAACCGGACACGCCAUGCUUGUGACUUUAGUCAUUUCUUUAUCAAUCCAUUUCUUUUCUUGGCUUCUGCAUUUUGGAUUCACUCUUUUCUGUAUUUUUCUUCUUUUUCUGCUACUUCUAACUUGUAUUGAAUUCUGAAAUAACUUCCCUUGUUCUCCAGGUGGGUGCCUGCUACUGACUUGAAACUUGAAAACUCUGAAAUAAACUCUGAAAUAUCUUCCCUCAUUUUUCAGGUGGGCGCCUGCAAUCAAAACAACAAAGCAAACAAAGUUUUCUUCCCCAGUUUACACUAGGAAGAUUUUUGAGUUGUUAGAAAAAUAGUAAACCACAUAUAUUAUUGAUGCAAUGAUGAGAGUAAGCUAAAGACUCGACUAGGAUGUGCGUCUCAUGUGAGUUAAACCAAGAAAUUUUGACUAGCAAGUGUGUCUGCAAAGAAUAGAACCUGAAUGACCCAAAUUAGGAAGUGCGUCUCCUGAGGAUGAAACUUGAAUGAACCAAAAAUUAGGAAGAGCGUCUCUUAGGGUUAAUACUUGAAUAACUCAAACUAGGAAGUGCGUCUCCUAGAGGUGAAACUUCAAUAAAAAACUAGGAAGUGCGUCUCCUAGGAAUGAACUUAAAUGACCCAACUAAGAAAUGCGUCUCCUAGGGGUAUUUAGGAAGUGCUUCUGCUAAAACAAAUAUAACUUGAAGGCCCAGACUAGGAAGUGCGUCUCCUAGGGGGUAAAAUUUCGAUGACUCAAACUAGGAAGUGCGUCUCCUAGGAAUGAACUUAAACAAAUCAAACUAUGAAGUACGUCUCCUAGUGGUAAAAUCUCAACGACUUAAACCAGGAAGUGCGUCUCCUAAAAAUGAAAAUAUAACUUGAAUGACCCAGGCUAGGAAGUGCGUCUCCUAGGGGUGAAAUUUCAAUGGCUAAAACUAGGAAGUGCGUCUCCUAAAAAUGAAUUUGAAUGACCAGAGCUAGGAUGUGUGUCUCCUAACAAGUAUAAUCCAAAAGACCCCUACUAGAAGUGCGUCUCCUAACGGGUAAAACUUCGAUGACUCCAACUAGGAUGUGCAUCUCCUAGGGAUGAAUUUGAUUGACUAUCAUUAGGAAGUGUGUCUCCUAAAAAUAAAAAUAUAACUUUAAAUAACAAGCCUAGAAAGUGCAUCUCCUAGGAGUAAAAUCUCAAUUUAGGAAGUCCGUCUCCUAAAACAAAAUAUAACCUGAUGGACCCAGACUAGGAAGUGCGUCUCCUAGGGAUGAAGCUUCAAUUAUUCAAACUAGGAAGUACGUCUCCUAUGAAUGAACUUACAUGACCCAAAGUAGGAAGUGUGUCUCCUAGGGGUAAAAUUUGAAUUUAGGAAGUGCGUCUCCUAGAAAAAAAAUAUAACAUGACAGACCCAAACUAGGAAGUGCAUCUCCUAUGGGUGAAACUUCAAUAACUCAAACUAGGAAGUGCGUCUCCUAGGAAUGAACUUACAUGAUCCAAACUAGGAAGUGCGUCUCCUAAGGGUAAAAUUUUAAUUUAGGAUGUGCGUCUCCUAAAACACAAUAUAUCCUGCAAGACUUAAACUAGGAAGUGUGUCUCCUGAAGGGGGGUAAAUUUUAAUGAUUCAAAUUAGGAAGUGUGUCUCCUUAGAAUAAACUUAAAUGAACCAAAUAGGAAGUGCGUCUCCUAGUUGUAAAAUCUCAAUUUAGGAAGUGCGUCUCCUAAUACAAAAUAUAACCAGAAGGACCCAAACUAGGAAGCGCAUCUUCUAUGGGUAACAUUUCAAUUUAGGAAGUGCGUCUCCUAAACAAAAUAUAACUUGAAAGGCCCAGACUAGGAAGUGCUUCUCCUAUGGGUAAUAUGUGAUCUUCUCAAUAGCCUUUGCUCAAGCAGAAUUGGGACAUUACACCUGAAAAAUUCAAGCUUUGAUAUGAACAUAGCCUUCAUUCCUUAAUAUGUGAUCUUCUCAAUAGCCUUUGUGCAAGCAGAAUUGGCACAUUACACCCAAAAAAUUCAAGCUUUGAUAUGAACAUAGCCUUCACUCCUGUUUCAGACAAAGAAAAUUUGUGAGUUUAAAACAUGGUGGUUAGUUUGUGGCCUUGACCUUGAAAGAGGCAGCUUCAGCACUUGCCAAGAUAAUUUUGCAUUGUGCUCAUGAAUUGACAUUUACUGAAUCUUUGCAUUUUACAUUAAUCCCAAAGCAUGUUGAGUGUUACCAACUCAGUGCACAUACUGUUCUUUUCUUACAUAUGCCUCUUUGAUGUGCUAGACAGACUCUGCUUUGUGCAAUUGGAAAGCUGGUAGUAGAUUUUGAAAUCAUUUCUUUACUUGUUCUAAAAAAAAGACUUAAGAAGGGACUCAAGCAAACAUGAGGAACAAAAUAAAGGACAAUGGAAAGAGAUGAUACCUAAUAAGAAAAUUACAAAGUAGAAACUUAUCAAGUGUGGAUACCAACUCUAAUGACCAUGACAUGCACCUUUGGAUUAGGUGGCUUAAUCUCUUAAGAAAGUCUAAUAUUUAGCUCUUGUUUUGCUUCUAAGCUGUGAAACUGGGCUUCAUCACUCCAAUUGUCCUAUUUGACCCACAAUCCUCAGUUGACUUGUAGUGCCCUGAAGGGUUUUCACCAUCAAGCCUCUCUCAUUUUUCUUUUUUUUUAACUCAUAGUCGCCUUACGGUGCCCAUAAGGGUUUUCACCGCUAAGACUCUAUCAUUUUAUUAUUUUCUCUCUAUGCUAAGACCAAAGGUAUUACCCAUGAUGCUGGAAGAUCAUACUCUCACCACACACUUGAUUUGGCAUCCUCAAAGAUUGGUCAGAAGGUCUUUCUUUGGACACGUAAUGUAGGCUUUUGGACAGGGUUAGAAAAAAAGGAUGGUAUGAAGGCUCAAAAUAAUUUAAGAUGAAAAUGGUUCAAAAUUACAACUUUUGGAAUCAGGCCUUUUUGGAAAAAUUAAAACUUCUGCCCCAAUUUCUUGGAGUUUGGGGGAUUUUUUGAAUUUUUGCUUUGAUGGGAUUUCUAAGGAAACCUGCCCAGUAUUGAUUUCGGGGAUACUGAAAUAUUUUAUUUCGUGUGACCGAACCGUGAGGCUGCCUACGUAUCUUGUGGUAACAAGAAUCAGUUCAAACGUAGUUCAAACAACAAAGUUGUUUUUUCCUUUUUAUCUUUCUUUUUCUCUUUUUAUUUUCUUUCUUUUCUUUUUUAUUCCUUUUUCUUUUCUCCUUCUUUUUAUCCUUUUUUUCUUUUUCUUUUCUGCUUCUUUUUUUCCUUUUUUUCUUUUUCUUUUCUAGUUCCUAACUUUAUUUUUGAUUCUAAAAGAGGGGUAUGAAAUAAAAAUUAAGGCUCAAAAUGGGUAACAAAUGGUAAAAGUGUUUGGGUAGCAGAAUAAAAUAUCUUCGUCAUACCAAACUUAAAAAUGCCUAGUACAAGCAUGCAAUUGAAGAUAAGCAAACAAAUCAUACAUAGUAUCUAUUCAUGGCAUCCACACAUACACAAAGUGCCAACGGGCAAUACCUUUAUCCCAAUGAAUGAUCAUUGCUAGUUCGAAGCAGACUUGACUCAACCUUAUCUUAAUGGAAGAAUGCCUUUUAGCACUUUCCAGUUCGAAGCAGACUUGACUCAACCUUAUCUUGAUGUAGAAGAAUGCCUUUUAGCACUAACCGAUUUACCUCAAACUGCUUGAGAGACAUUUCCUUGUUGUAUGCUCUUAUAAACAUCUUCUUUUUCCAAAAUAAUUGCCUCAGUUUCACUCAAUUCAAGCUCCAGCAUUGUCAAAAUGCAUGAAUCUUUACAUUUUCCUCAAAAUCCUCUUUUUAUCAUAUUCAAAAAUGUGCCAUUGUUUCAUGAUAAGACUAACUUUCAAGAUUAAGCUGAGAAUUAUCCGUGCAUGUCAUGUCACUAGAAUUAGCAUGAAAAGAACUAUAAAAUGAAGAAUGGCCUAAACAAAACCGACUAGAAUUAACAGAAAAAAGGAGAUUGCAAUAGACAGAUGAUGAAAAAGGGUUUGCACAAGACAAACAAAAUAGACAUGUGUUACAACUGGAACAACCCUAAAUAACACUAGACGAGUUACUACAAACUAAACGAACUAGACAAAACGAGAAGAAUAAGAGUUUGAGCCACGAGACAAUAUCCAAAUUAAAAUCCUGAAAUAAACCGAACAAACAAGAAAUGACAACAAAAUAAACUACCAAAACUCCUCGCUGCCUAGCCGAGAAAGGAGUGUCUUUUCAAUCGCCAAGCUCGACGUCUUAGCCACUUGAUUGCACAUCAAAAUUUCUAGUACUUUCACCAAUUUCCAUAUCAUUACCUUCAGCCAGCAAGUUUCCAAGAGCAUUCUCAUGCUCCAUGUCAACAUGCAUCUUCCCCAAAAAGCGUGCAUCAUCAUGUGUGGGUAAAGGAUUAUGUGCAAUGUUCUGGGUGUCACUGUCCUAGACCAUAAUUAUCACUUCUUGAAUCAUUCUUUCUAUCUCCCUUUUCAAAGAACAACAAUCUUCAAUGAUAUGCCCUUGGACAUUAGAGUGCUACAUGCACCGCACAGUAGGAUCAAAACCUUUUGCAUACGGGUCUGGGGUAUAGCCGAGGAGCGGUUCAAUAAGUCCAGAUGUUUCAAAUUUUCAAACAAACUUGUGUAGGAUUCUCUGAUUGGAGUGAAAUAAUUUCUUUGCCUUUGUUCCCCUCGAUGCCCCUGUUUCCUAGGGUUUUUGGGUGCUCGAAAAUGUUGUGAAGGAGAAGGAGUAUUAUGCGGUGCUGGUGCUCGCCACAAGGAGUGACCCAUUGGUUGAACAAAUGAUUGGGGGUUGUUCGAGGGAUAAUGCUGAGAUGGAUUAUGUGGAGCCCGAUGAUAGGUUUGGACUUAGGGUCGGCGUCGAGUGUGAGUAUAUUGGUGAGGUGGACCCUUUGGGCCAUGUCGUGAUCCCGAGACAACCAUGGCAACAUCAUCAUGUUUCUUCUGACUCAGCAAGCUUCCUAUGUCGUUCUCAAUUGCCUGUGUUGUGGCUUUCAAGGCAGAAUAGCUCAUGAUCUUGCUCGACUUGAGCCCUUCUUCCACCAUUUCUCCCAUCUUCAACACAUUAUUGAAAGACUUAACAAUGGCUAAGAUCAAGUGGCUAUAGUAAGUGGGCUCUAGGGAUCGAAGAAUGUAUUUAACCAUCUCGUCUUCCUCCAUCGGAGGAUUGACUCGUGCAGGUAGCUCCCUCAAUCAGAACCCAUAUUCUCUAAUGCUAUCACUAGGUUUCUUUUCCACGUUGGUCAAAGAUAGGCAAUCCAGGACGAUGUCUAUGUUGUAUUGAAAAUUUUGAGCAAAAGCAUGAGCCAAAUCAUCCCACGUGUACCAUCCGCUGGUGUCCUGGCGGGUAUACCAUUCUAGAGCUGCCCCACUCAGACUAUGGCUCAAGUACGCCAUCAGUAAUUCAUCUUUUCUCCCAGCACCUAUCAUCUUACUGCAAUAACCCCUCAGAUGGUCAAUAGGAUCCCCAUGUCCAUCAGACAAAUCAAACUUGGGCAUCUUGAACCCGACAGGAGAUUGGACAUCAAGGAACAAACAUAAAUCUUUAUAAGCAACAAUCACCUGGCUUCCUAGCCCUUGCAUGUUUCUCAAUGAUUGCUCCAGACUCUUUACCUUCCUAAAUAUCUCCUCCUGCUUCGCGUUCUUGGGCGGUUUCUCAGUUUCAACAUGAGUAUCAAGGUGGGAAGUAUAGGAAUAAGGAUCCGGGACAUUGAAAGUGGGUUCCGGGGCAUAAUAUUAGGUAUCUGGGGGCCGGGAAUGCGGUAGUUUUGACUGGUGGAACAUGAAAAGUUUCGGAGGAAGUGCCAAGGUAAUUUUGAUAAGGGGUAAAGCAUGUGUGUGUUGUGGCGAGAGAUCAAUGGUAUUGGGCAUCUGGGAUUGUGAGAGUAGCGAGAUAGUUUCAGGGUGUUCAGUGUAGUUAUUGGGGAAUGAAGGUGGAGGAUGCCCCCUAAUUCAAGACUGAUGCAUUUCUGCCAUCUGCUGUUUCAGCCUAAUCAACGGUAUUUGGCAUCUGGGAUUGUGAGAGUAGAGGGAUAGUUGCAGGGUUUUCAGUAUAGUUAUUGGGGAAUAAAGGUGGAGGAUGCCCCCUGAUCCAAGACUGAUACAUUUCUGCCAUCUGUUGUUUCAACCUUUAGACCUCCUCCUUUAAUUCAGAUUCCGACCCCACAAUCUCCUUCGAGGGGUCGGCAACUGUUGUAUCCAUGUCUUUGAUAGCCAUGGUUUUCUUGCUUUUUGACCUUGUGUUGUAUGGACGAAUCACCAAAGUGCCACAAACUAACCACCACCCUCUGUUAUAAUAAUGAUGGAAGUAACAAAGGAGAGCAAAAAAUAGCUAACGGGUUAGCGUUAGAGCAUUUAGCAGAUAGAAAUACCACAUUGUGUGCCAUGCCUUGGCAACAAUUAACGGUUCUAGAAUGGCUUCGAGGGUACAAAAGUCAUAUGACAUCAUCCCAAUUUCACUCUUUUUGCCUCAUUUCCUUCCUCUUCAUCCUCUUGCUUUCUAACAUCGAUUGAUUUGUCAUUCAUAUCACCCUCUUUUCUUUCUGAUUAUCGCUUCAUUUUUUCACAUUUCUCAUGCCCACAAUUUCAUCUUUUUUUUUCUUUUUUUCUUUUUUUUUUAAAAAAAAUGAUUCGAUCGAACCCUAUGUAGGUUGCCUACGUAUCAUGUCCCUCAUAAAUCAGAUCAAGCAAAGUUCUUGAAUAAUUGAUGGAUAAAUUAAACUAAAAUAAAAAUCUUUUUGGAUUUUUCAUUUAUAAUAAUAAUUUUCUUUUAUUUUUCGAAUACAAAAUUGGAAGUAAUAUAACAAAAGACUCGAUAUUACUGUACAAGACUAGAAAGUUAAGACAAUAUGACAGACUAAAAACAUAAAAAUAUCUAUUAUCAGCUCCUAAAUGCAGUGGUACUGGGGUAUUUAUCAUGCUCGAACUCUGGUAAAUGAAUCCUUACCUGAAUGAGAAAAAUAAGACCAAAUAGAUCAGAUGACUAGAGACACUAUGUGAGACCGCACCCCAUAUAGGACACAUGCACGACAAGAUUAGGCUAUUAUUGAAAAUUAACCUAUACGACCAAGAGUGGCCAUUACUGCAAACUCAACAAAAAUGACCUCAUGGACAUGGCAAAUGACUAGCUAAGACUUUCAUGGAUUCAAACUCCUAAUAUCAUGGCCCAAAAAUUAAUUUGCAGAAAUAAUCCAUUUUGUAAAAAUGGCCGAUAUGGCAAGAAGUGGCUAAAGAUGCAAACUCAAAAAGGCAAGACCUUAAAAUAAUAUGACAUCUAGCUGUAGACUCAAAAUCGUAAGACAUGGGUUAGUGAACCACUUUUGCGAAAAUUGCCCUAUUUUGCAAGAAUGAUCGAUGUUGCAAAAAAUGGCUAGACAUGCAAGAUUUGGCUGAGAUUCCACAAAGCCAAGAACCUAAGACACUAGGAAGACCAGACUCUAUGUGGGUUGCCUACGUAUCUCACCCUGGGAGACGAUAAUCGGGUUCGCGCAGUUCGGGAAGAUUAAAUAUAGGAUAGAAUUAAAAAUAAUGCAUCUAAUUUGAAAAAAAAAAUCUUUUUGAAAAAAAUGAUGAAAAAUAUAAAAUCUUUUUGGAAUUUUUUUCUUUUUUUUAAAAUAUUUUGUAAAGUGAUGAAAAAUGUAAAAUCUUUUUUGGGAUUUUCAUUUUAUACUUUUUUGAGUUUUUGGAAAAUAAUGGGAAAAUAUAAAAUCUUUUUUGGAUUUUUCAUUCUAAUUUUUUUUUGAAAUUUUGAAAAAUAAUGGAAGAGUGUAAAAUCUUUUGGAUUUUCUUAUUUUCAUUUUUUUUAUUUUUGGAAAAUCAUGAAAAAAAAAUACUGGUGGGCCCUACUUUCUUUAUUUUUCACCUUUCUUUCAUAACAUUGGUUUGUCAAAUAACCUUUUUACCCUCAAAGAUGCAACAUUUAGCACAUAGGAUGAUUAAAUAUCAUUUUGGGCCAUAAGAUCAUUUUUUACAUAAUUUAGAUAGGCCUCCUAUAACAGGACACGGUGCCUAGAACCGAACCCUGCUAGGUUUCAAUAAUAUGAUGCACUUAAGUACGACUUAAAGGAUGACCUACGGUUGAGGUUCACUAGACAAGGCAAUUCGGGGCGGCACGGGGUCGAUGGCGGCUGCUCUAGCUGUCCGCCCACUGUACGCUCCCACGCCACCCCCUAAAGACACGGGUGACUCACAAAAGACCGUGUACGCUCAAACGUACUCCGAAAGACUUGUUGUAGAAAGAAGACCCAUGGUUAUGCAAAAUGAUGAUAAUUUAUAAAGCAGUAACACAUGAAGGAAAAACUAUAAACAAAUAAGUAGCUAGCAAAUAAUAAAAAGACAUAAACAAAAUAAAAACCAAAUAAAACAAACAAAAUACAUAAAGACCUCAACCGAAAAUCCUGUAAGCUAACAAGAUCAAAUAUUAGCUCGAACCCGCAACUCCGCAGCAGAGUCACCAGAGAUGUCACACCCCUUUAUUUUUUACACAAACUUCACUAAACCUUCUUAAAUAAAUAAAAGGAUUUUAAUAAAAGCUUGGAAAGGGUUUUUCAAUUGAAAAGUGAUAAAAAUUUGUUUCAAAAGGAUCAACUCAGAGUCGCCACCUGACAUUUGAUUUUGGUGUGCCAGGUCACCGGUUUUUAGAAAAUAUUUUUCCUUGUAAAACACUUGAACUCAAAACUAAGUCUGCACCAGAGAUUCAGGUAAGGGGGUUCAUUUGACUCGGGGAGAAGGUGUGAGGCACUGCCCAAGUCUCGUAACUAGUACGGUUGCGUACUCGAUCUAGUUGGCUUUUAAAAUAUUCAAGUUGAGGCAAUAAAAACACACAAAAGAAAGUAAACAAUCAAAAAGGUUCGAGGUCGUCCCCACCUAGUAAAAAACUUUAACAGAAAAAGAAAAAAAAUCCUAAACUAACAUAUACUACGACUUCUCCUGCAUGCUCAUCAAGGCCUCCAAAAUGUUUUGAUGGUUCUUUGGGUCAUACCCCGGAUAAUAAUAUUUACAAACUUCACGGGGCAUUCUCCGGAUGAAUUCAUCUACAGGACAACCUCUCACCUUACGUUCAAACAUUAUAAAUUAAACUAAAUCCUACGGGUUUGCCUACCCAAAUGUGGUCGGCUUAAGCAUGCUCCUAACAAACAAAAUAAUAAGAGCAAAAUAAAUAAAACUAAAGAAGUAAAAAUUAAUUUCAUGCUCACUCUCUUUUUAACAUUUCAUUUUUUAUUAGACCGAGCCAACACUUAAAGCAUGUGAAUAAAUUAAACACAAACGGGCUAAGUCUUUUCCCUUUUCCCACGGUCUAGUUCCAUUCCAUCCCAAAAAAUAAAAUACUUUAUAUACCGAACAUGACAAAAUGAGACACCUCAACAUACAGGGAUCCAAGCAUAAGAAAUGGGAACAGCAGUAACAGAAUUAAAAAGGUGAAUUAAAAUAUGGUACUGGCCAUCUUAUUUUUAUAUUCAAUUCAAAACUGACUUCUACGUGAGUGAGAAUUUAUUUUUUCUAAAAUCUUUAAUGGAUGUUGAAGAAGGAAAAUGAAAUCAAUUCCUCAUGGUAAAAAUACAACCAUUAGCUUAACAAACAGAUUAAAAUUUUAACACAUAAAGCCUUGCACCAAAUUUGAAUAAUUUUAUCACAAAUACAUUAUUCAAAACAGCAAAUAACUAUAGGAAAGGAACAAGAGAAGUGACCUUUAACUAAAUUUGAAAUUCAAAUGCCUAGAUCGCUUUGAAGCUCAUAAGCAACAAGAAAGCGAACAAGACCUCGGCAGGAGACAGACUGACGAACUCGAACACUCUUAUCGAUCAAGGAAAGAAACGGAAACUACUUUCAUAUAUAUAUUAGUUUUUUUUAAUAUUUUGGUUUAGUUCCAAAACAAGAUGAAGCAGAUCCUUUGUUUUUCAGUCACUGAAUGUUCCAUACAGGUCUGCGAGCAACAGAGAAAUGAAGCAGUAGCUCGUUUGGUGAACGUAAGGUCUGGUAGUCGUUGUAGGAGUGGAGUCGCGAUGGGGAUGGGUGGUCGACGGUAGUGGUUGGUUUGGUUUCUAUUGAGUGAUGGCUGAUGGUGUUCUCUCGUGUAUUAUGGUGCAAGAAGAAGAAGUUAAAUGGUGGGGUUGUUUUUCAUCGUUCAUAUGCGUGUCCCCUGAACUGAUGGCUGCUCUUGUAGUUAAAGAAGAAGGUCCUCUUUAGGGUUAGG
This 11339-nucleotide long non-coding RNA is filed under the name Nicotiana benthamiana. RNAcentral's name for it is "long non-coding RNA (NBEN_LNC005455)". Lineage: Eukaryota; Viridiplantae; Streptophyta; Magnoliopsida; Solanales; Solanaceae. The record is from RNAcentral.